RNAcentral lists this long non-coding RNA (230 nucleotides) under Capra hircus (goat). Its description in RNAcentral is "lncRNA (ENSCHIG00010029432.1)". The record is from RNAcentral. Lineage: Eukaryota; Metazoa; Chordata; Mammalia; Artiodactyla; Bovidae.
GGAGACAUACACAGAGGCACGGAGCAAGAAGCUGCUGAGGAGGUGGACCCGGGAUUCCAGACCGCGCUGGACUCACAUGUACUCUGAGGUCUUUGAAAGAAGUUGUUCUUAGGCCGUUGCUUUGGGUUUCUGGAGAAACAGAUCCUGGAGGAGAAACUAAGGCCGGCGGCUGGGACUGCACUGGGCACCCUUGGCUCCUUGGGCACUUGUGUCCUAUUUGUCAAAAUUGG